CCCUAGUAACGGCGAGUGAAGCGGCAACAGCUCAAAUUUGAAAUCUGGCUUCGGCCCGAGUUGUAAUUUGUAGAGGAAGAUUUAGGCGCGGCACCUUCUGAGUCCCCUGGAACGGGGCGCCAUAGAGGGUGAGAGCCCCGUAUAGUUGGAUGCCUAGCCUGUGUAAAUCUCCUUCGACGAGUCGAGUAGUUUGGGAAUGCUGCUCAAAAUGGGAGGUAAAUUUCUUCUAAAGCUAAAUAUUGGCCAGAGACCGAUAGCGCACAAGUAGAGUGAUCGAAAGAUGAAAAGCACUUUGAAAAGAGGGUUAAAUAGCACGUGAAAUUGUUGAAAGGGAAGCGCUUGUGACCAGACUUGCGCCGGGCGGAUCAUCCGGUGUUCUCACCGGUGCACUCCGCCCGGCUCAGGCCAGCAUCGGUUCUCGUGGGGGGAUAAAGGCCCUGGGAACGUAGCUCCUCCGGGAGUGUUAUAGCCCAGGGUGUAAUGCCCUCGCGGGGACCGAGGUUCGCGCAUCUGCAAGGAUGCUGGCGUAAUGGUCAUCAGCGACCCGUCUUGAAACACGGACCAAGGAGUCAAGGUUUUGCGCGAGUGUUUGGGUGUAAAACCCGCACGCGUAAUGAAAGUGAACGUAGGUGAGAGCUUCGGCGCAUCAUCGACCGAUCCUGAUGUAUUCGGAUGGAUUUGAGUAGGAGCGUUAAGCCUUGGACCCGAAAGAUGGUGAACUAUGCUUGGAUAGGGUGAAGCCAGAGGAAACUCUGGUGGAGGCUCGCAGCGGUUCUGACGUGCAAAUCGAUCGUCAAAUCUGAGCAUGGGGCGAAAGACUAAUCGA
This 826-nucleotide ribosomal RNA is filed under the name Humicola homopilata. Its description in RNAcentral is "partial large subunit ribosomal RNA". It matches the Rfam family "Eukaryotic large subunit ribosomal RNA", at positions 78 to 938 of the family's 3401-position model. Lineage: Eukaryota; Fungi; Ascomycota; Sordariomycetes; Sordariales; Chaetomiaceae. The record is from RNAcentral.